UGUGUUCAGGCUCUGGCUGACA
RNAcentral lists this microRNA (22 nucleotides) under Oreochromis niloticus (Nile tilapia). Its description in RNAcentral is "oni-miR-10858". Lineage: Eukaryota; Metazoa; Chordata; Actinopteri; Cichliformes; Cichlidae. The record is from miRBase by way of RNAcentral.